This 460-nucleotide ribosomal RNA is filed under the name uncultured bacterium. RNAcentral's name for it is "partial 16S ribosomal RNA". It matches the Rfam family "Bacterial small subunit ribosomal RNA", at positions 338 to 795 of the family's 1533-position model. The record is from RNAcentral.
CCUACGGGAGGCAGCAGUGAGGAAUAUUGGUCAAUGGGCGGGAGCCUGAACCAGCCAAGUCGCGUGAGGGAAGACGGUCCUCUGGAUUGUAACACUCUUUAGGCGGGGAGCAAUGCCGGGCACGCGUGCCCGGAGGGAGAGUACCCGCAGCAUAAGCAUCGGCUAACGCCGUGCCAGCAGCCGCGGUAAUACUGAGGAUGCGAGCGUUAUCCGGAUUUAUUGGGUUUAAAGGGUGCGUAGGCGGAUUUUUAAGUCAACGGUAAAAUGUCCGGGCUCAACCCGGGCCGGCCGUUGAAACUGGGGAGCUUGAGUGGGCGAGAAGUAUGCGGAAUGCGUGGUGUAGCGGUGAAAUGCAUAGAGAUCACGCAGAACUCCGAUUGCGAAGGCAGCAUACCGGCGCCCGACUGACGCUGAGGCACGAAAGCGUGGGGAUCGAACAGGAUUAGAUACCCGGGUAGUC